CCCUUAGAUGUUCUGGGCCGCACGCGCGCUACACUGAUGCAUUCAACGAGCCUAUCCUUGACCGACAGGUCCUGGUAAUCUUUGAAUCUGCAUCGUGACGGGGAUAGAUUAUUGCAAUUAUUAAUCUUCAACGAGGAAUGCCUAGUAGGCGCAAGUCAUCAGCUUGCGUCGAUUACGUCCCUGCCCUUUGUACACACCGCCCGUCGCUCCUACCGAUUGGGUGUGCUGGUGAAAUGUUCGGAUCGGCCGUUUGUCGCGGUUUCCGCGGCUCGUGGCUGAGAAGUUCAUUAAACCCUCCCACCUAGAGGAAGGAGAAGUCGUAACA
This 325-nucleotide ribosomal RNA is filed under the name uncultured eukaryote. Its description in RNAcentral is "partial 18S ribosomal RNA". It matches the Rfam family "Eukaryotic small subunit ribosomal RNA", at positions 1470 to 1796 of the family's 1831-position model. The record is from RNAcentral.